RNAcentral lists this ribosomal RNA (606 nucleotides) under Montfortista kirana. Its description in RNAcentral is "SSU rRNA". It matches the Rfam family "Eukaryotic small subunit ribosomal RNA", at positions 1155 to 1700 of the family's 1831-position model. The record is from RNAcentral. Lineage: Eukaryota; Metazoa; Mollusca; Gastropoda; Lepetellida; Fissurellidae.
UUAAAGGAAUUGACGGAAGGGCACCACAAGGAGUGGGACCUGCGGCUCAAUUUGACUCAACACGGGAAAACUCACUCGGUCCGGACACAUGAGAGGAUUGACAGACAUAAAGCUCUUUCAUGAUUCAGUGGGUGGUGGUGCAUGGCCGUUCUUAGUUCGUGGAGUGAUCUGUCUGGUUUAUUCCGAUAACGAACGAGACUCUAGCCUGCUAAUAAGUUCGGAGACUUGCAUGUCUGUCCAACCGAACGCUAGUGAGACGCACCUGUACUGCAAAGGGUAACCCUGCCACUAACCGGGCGGGCCCCGGCGCGGGACAGGCUCACGAAGCGAAACUUCUUAGAGGGACUGGUGGCAAUGUAAGCCACAGGAAGUAGAGCAAUAACAGGUCUGUGAUGCCCUUAGAUGUCCGAGGCUGCACGCGCGUCACAAUGAAUGAGUCAAUGUGGACACCACGUCCUCCGAAAGGAGCGGCGAAACCCUAUSAAACUCACUCUCGGUGGGGAUUGUGGAUUGGAACAGUCCACAUGAACGUGGAAUUCCUCGUAAUCGUCAGUCAUUAACUGGCGCUGAAUAAGUCCCUGGCCUUUGUACACACCGCCCGUCGCU